RNAcentral lists this ribosomal RNA (517 nucleotides) under Metarhabditis blumi. RNAcentral describes it as "partial 28S ribosomal RNA". It matches the Rfam family "Eukaryotic large subunit ribosomal RNA", at positions 368 to 870 of the family's 3401-position model. Lineage: Eukaryota; Metazoa; Nematoda; Chromadorea; Rhabditida; Rhabditidae. The record is from RNAcentral.
AAAGGACUUUGAAAAGAGAGUUCAAGAGAACGUGAAAACACUAAUGUGGAAGCGGAGAGAGUUGUCUGAUCUGGGUAGCUAAGCUUAUGCGUUGGCCGUUAGUUCGGUCUUCGUUGAGUGGUGCUGCCGUGGAUGCGCUGGUAGUGUCGGUGAUGGUCGCUGACCCGGUAUGUGUAGCCCACUUCGGUGGUGUCUUGCUGCUGGUUAGGCGUCUCGUUGCUGAUGCUGAGCUUCACCUAGUGAAGUACCGGUGUUAUAGACGACCACCUCUCCGGCCCGUCUUGAAACACGGACCGAGGAGUGUAACUAGUACGCGAGUCAGAGAGUGGUAAACUCUAUGGCGUAAUUAACGUGAAGGUUGUUCAUCAGCCUGACAUGGGAUCCGUUUCUUCGGAAGCGGCGCACCAUGGCCCUGUCUUGGAAGCUUGCUUCUGGGCAGAGGAAGAGCGUACUGGUUGCGACCCGAAAGAUGGUGAACUAUGCGUGCGCAGAACGAAGCCAGAGGAAACUCUGGUGG